UUGCUUCUCAAGGAGAAGUGGGGCAUUCUGGGUAAUGGCCACAGCCAAGCUCAAUGUCAGAGCUGCCAGUUGCUGCCACAUCAGAUAUUACUUGCUGUUAUUCAAAACUCCAGCUUUCCAUAUGGGAAAGUGGAACCGGGCAGCGAAAGUAAAUUAACAGAAACUGUCAGCAGUUCAGAGCAGCACAGACAGCAGUGUGACAGAGGUGGGUGACUUCCCAUCAGAAAAUAUGUGGGUCUUUUUAAAAGUGGCCUGGCUGGAAUUUAAACCAAAGUUUUGCUGAUGUCAACAUCUCAUGCUCUUUCCUUGUAUUUUCUGUGUCAAACUUGUAUGGAAACAACUGAGAUCUGACUCCAGAUGGAGGUCAUGCGGGGGAGAAAAUCCCUGGAUUUCCACAGUGCUGCCACCCCGCUCACCAAUUGGUCACCAGUAUGGAGGCUGACAUCAUGAAGGUCCCGAGUCUGCUGCAGGCAGUGGCCUUGGUCCCUUUCUGAGCCAAAGAGCAGAGUGAAGCUGCAGCCAAACUGAAGGUAAAUAACAGUCAUGGCAGGGCGCGGGGAGAAUCUGUACAGCUGAAACCAUCCUUGAGGAUCCAUGCCACGGUUGGUGAGGGCAGCAGCAGGGGAUUAGGAUGACUGGGUGUUUUCUCUUACAGGAAGAAAAAAAUGAAGGAAGGAGAGGACAGCAUAGAGCUAGGAGGUAGGAAAUAAAUACAUGAGAGAGUGAGAGAAAAAGAGUACGGAAGAGUCAGAAAAGGGAGGUAGAAAAAUCCUUUUUGUCUCCAAUCAGUUACACGUGUCGCGCUUGCUCUCUGUCUGAUCUAGUGCGACCUCUCCAGGCUUUGGACGGCAUUUUUAUCUCUGCUAGGUUGGUGUUAAAUGAGUACCACACU
Molecule: long non-coding RNA, 892 nt
Filed under: Aotus nancymaae (Ma's night monkey)
Lineage: Eukaryota; Metazoa; Chordata; Mammalia; Primates; Aotidae
Description: lncRNA (ENSANAG00000038748.1)
Source: RNAcentral